AUCUUCCGGUGCUCCUGUCGCAGAUGACUUUCGCCCUUCUCUACAACGACCCUUCGAAUCAAAUAUUUUGGAAGGUUUUUAGUGUGAUAAGUGCGAGUCAUCUGUGACAGGAUAAUGGAAGAU
RNAcentral lists this microRNA precursor (123 nucleotides) under Nicotiana sylvestris (wood tobacco). RNAcentral describes it as "MIR1919 microRNA precursor family". It matches the Rfam family "MIR1919 microRNA precursor family". Lineage: Eukaryota; Viridiplantae; Streptophyta; Magnoliopsida; Solanales; Solanaceae. The record is from Rfam by way of RNAcentral. RNAcentral also lists the same sequence under 1 other name.